GACACACACAAUGAUCAUCGAAAGGUGGGUACCUUCCCUGGUGUUCCAUCACCAACCUAAACAGACAACUUCCCUAGAUGUAUCUACCAAGGCUCGGAGCUUAGACGCCGGUGGACCCGAAUCCUCCCUCCCCCGGACGGUGGCGUCGAGGUCCACCACCUCGGCGACCUCCGGCGUCGAAUCACCUGGACAAUCAUCUACGCGACAUGGCCACCAGCUUCACGGAGAAGUCCGCCUCUGAGUGGUUGAAGAGCAUAGCACCCACCGGCUGCGCUAGUCAGCGUCGAUCACCCCUGCGCCAAUUCACAAGACCCAUUAAUUAAGUUAAGAUUCUUUCUCAUCUAGCAAUUUAAAGGGGCUCAUGCCAAAAAUAUUUGCUUAAUUCCUCACUGGCUAUUCAAACUAAAUGGUCCAAGAACUUUGGGACAAUCAACAAUCUUUCCGCUUGAUCUCCGCUAGCUACUUUGGAUUCAAUAAGAAAAGGAACAUUUAUUUGAACUGGAAAGAACAAGCAGGCAAGCAUGCUAUCAAUCUUCUGGCUGGAAUUUCACAAAAUGCACCUGUCAAGUGUACUCUAACAAUCGACGUGUCCCAUCUCCUCAUGAUUAAGGACUCUAGCUGAGCCGACAACAUGGAGCAAGAUGUAGUCGUUUCCGAGCAUGAACCCUUGACUGUCAUCAAUGAACCUGCAACAUCCAUCAUGCCCAUUGUAAAAUAUGUUAGUUUCAGAUAAGAAAAGAACUGAACUCUGAACAUAUGAUGUUAUCUAAAUCCUUACUUUAUGGAGAUGUCAUCGGCAGCAAAAAAAGGAAAUAUAUUUCACUGAUUUUGGUGUUGCAACAACGUAUAUACUUUAUCACAUUAUAAGUCCUCACACCAUCAACUAUGACAAAAUCUGAGAGUAUAAGUCUGGUUACAUUCAUCCAAGUCCAAACAUAAAAUUCUGUCCAACAUAGUACAACCCACUUUGAUAAUUUCAUAGUAUUUAAUAUAACGAACGAAACCUGACAAGUGAUAUGUGUUUAAGUAUCUACAGAACAGCCUCUAAAAUUUUCAUGUUGUAACUUUAUUUUAAUACCACCUCUAACAGGCCUAAUCUCCCAUAUCAAAACACUGUACCCAGGAACAUAUAUUUUGGGACAACAAACUAAAUUGAUGGCUGAUCUCAAACCGUACAUCCAAACGACACAAAUAAAUACUCUAAAGAAACCUUGGAACUUUAUCUAAAACUUAUGUAAAGGGGCCAACUCAAAAUUCUAAGCCUAGCUAACUCAUUUUUCAGAUCUAAGCUUGCUGUCCAAAUUGGACAUUACAGUUUUUAACUGAACCAAGUUCAGUUUACAGCCAUGAUGCAGAACUAGAUGCUAAAACUAACACCUUGUAGGGAGAGGCGAUGCACCGUUUUUACCUCGAAUCAAAGGCUUCGCAUAUGCGCUUUGGCCGGAUAAAAAGAUGAUAUCUCCCUUAACAGUAUCCAUGCCAUGAUGCAGAACUAGUAUUUCCAAAUUUCCCCAAAUCACCACUCGAGCAUUUCUAGAGGAAAUUAAUUGAUUCUCUACAUAGCAUCUGCCCUACAAUAGCUAAUCCUUAAACAGAAAAUUGGGCAAAGCGAGCACCACACAUGUUUAACUGGGGUACAUGUACAUCCAACAAGGACACAAAACUAAGUAAAACCGAAUGAAGCAACUGAAGAGUACCUCUUCCACGCUAGCCUUAGCCGCCAUCUCGCUGCUCACGCACAGACACUCCGUCCGCCAGAGCUUGAAUAUCUGCAGAACCAGAAACAUUACUCCUCCAAACCCAUAGCAGAGAAUUCGAGCCCGACCACACCCGGGCCACUACCCCCAAAUCACAGAGACCACUCCUCCAAACAUUUUUUGUGACUUUCAUUCUCCAUUACUACAAAAGGCAGAGAAACAAACAUUUUUUGUGUUUUUCAUUUUCUUUUGCUACAAAAGGC
This 1960-nucleotide long non-coding RNA is filed under the name Triticum aestivum (bread wheat). Its description in RNAcentral is "long non-coding RNA (TAES_LNC009979)". Lineage: Eukaryota; Viridiplantae; Streptophyta; Magnoliopsida; Poales; Poaceae. The record is from RNAcentral.